GCCGGUUUGGCUCAAUGGAUAGAGCGUCAUUGGCCUGUGGACUGAAGGGUCCCAGGUUCGAUUCCUGGUAAGGGCA
This 76-nucleotide transfer RNA is filed under the name Myotis davidii. It matches the Rfam family "tRNA". From Rfam's summary of the family: Transfer RNA (tRNA) molecules are approximately 80 nucleotides in length. Their secondary structure includes four short double-helical elements and three loops (D, anti-codon, and T loops). Further hydrogen bonds mediate the characteristic L-shaped molecular structure. tRNAs have two regions of fundamental functional importance: the anti-codon, which is responsible for specific mRNA codon recognition, and the 3' end, to which the tRNAs corresponding amino acid is attached (by aminoacyl-tRNA synthetases). tRNAs cope with the degeneracy of the genetic code in two manners: having more than one tRNA (with a specific anti-codon) for a particular amino acid; and 'wobble' base-pairing, i.e. permitting non-standard base-pairing at the 3rd anti-codon position. Lineage: Eukaryota; Metazoa; Chordata; Mammalia; Chiroptera; Vespertilionidae. The record is from Rfam by way of RNAcentral.